This 323-nucleotide long non-coding RNA is filed under the name Capsicum annuum. Its description in RNAcentral is "long non-coding RNA (CANN_LNC012931)". The record is from RNAcentral. Lineage: Eukaryota; Viridiplantae; Streptophyta; Magnoliopsida; Solanales; Solanaceae.
UAUUGUACUGAUGAUCAAUUAAUUUGGGGACGGAGGGAGUAAUAAGCACGGCUUAUAGAAACAAAACAUAGACCUGAAUGUCUUCCAGCUAAACGUAUCAUGCAUGAUAGCACUAUUGCUAUUACAAAAUAUAUAGAGGUAAAACACAUUGUCUUUUCCCCUAACGGAGCUGAGAUAGCCCUAUUGCUAUCAUACUAAUAUAUAGUAGAGUUAGAAUAUGUGUUCUUUCCACAGCUGGAGCCUGGAGCUACUAAAACAACCAGCAGAAUGAUUUUCGUAAUCGACAUUCCGGAGCCACUGAUAUCAGAAGAAAGCACACUGCC